AACGCAAAUUGCACUCUCUGGUAUUCCGGGGAGUAUGCCUGUUUGAGGGUCUGUUUAAAUUAAAUCGAUGUGUUGCUUUCGGUGACACCUCGGAGUUUGGGUUAUCUUAGUAUUUCUAAGAGACCUAAAAUUGAUAUUUUUUGCGCAUUUUAGACGUAUAAGAUAUUUUAUUUGUCUGAUAUGCCAGAAUUUACUAGGUAUGACCAUGUUAUAUGGUUCCGUAUCUAUAAUAAUUUCAUUUUUUGACCUCAAAUCAGGUAAGAGUACCCGCUGAACUUAAGC
Molecule: unclassified non-coding RNA, 282 nt
Filed under: uncultured fungus
Lineage: Eukaryota; Fungi
Description: sequence contains ITS2
Rfam family: 5.8S ribosomal RNA (bases 1-52)
Source: RNAcentral